CAAUAGCGUAUAUUAAAGUUGUUGCAGUUAAAAAGCUCGUAGUUGGAUUUGUGGCGUACGACGGGCUCCGGGCACUUGUUGUCUGAGUAGCUUGUCGUUGCCAUCCUUGGGUGGAACCUGUGUGGCAUUAGGUUGUCGUGCAGGGGAUGCCCAUCUUUUACUGUGAAAAAAUUAGAGUGUUCAAAGCAGGCUUAUGCCGUUGAAUAUAUUAGCAUGGAAUAAUAGGAUAGGACUUUGUCGCUAUUUUGUUGGUUUGCGCGAUAAGGUAAUGAUUAAUAGGGACAGUUGGGGGUAUUCGUAUUCCAUUGUCAGAGGUGAAAUUCUUGGAUUUUUGGAAGACGAACUACUGCGAAAGCAUUUACCAAGGAUGUUUUCAUUAA
This 380-nucleotide ribosomal RNA is filed under the name uncultured eukaryote. Its description in RNAcentral is "partial 18S ribosomal RNA". It matches the Rfam family "Eukaryotic small subunit ribosomal RNA", at positions 592 to 976 of the family's 1831-position model. The record is from RNAcentral.